RNAcentral lists this ribosomal RNA (636 nucleotides) under uncultured Actinomycetes bacterium. RNAcentral's name for it is "bacterial SSU rRNA". It matches the Rfam family "Bacterial small subunit ribosomal RNA", at positions 803 to 1440 of the family's 1533-position model. Lineage: Bacteria; Bacillati; Actinomycetota; Actinomycetes. The record is from RNAcentral.
UAAACGGUGGGCGCUAGUUGUGCGAACCUUCCACGGUUUGUGCGACGCAGCUAACGCAUUAAGCGCCCCGCCUGGGGAGUACGAUCGCAAGAUUAAAACUCAAAGGAAUUGACGGGGCCCCGCACAAGCAGCGGAGCAUGCGGCUUAAUUCGACGCAACGCGAAGAACCUUACCAAGGCUUGACAUAUACAGGAAUACGGCAGAGAUGUCGUAGCCGCAAGGUCUGUAUACAGGUGGUGCAUGGUUGUCGUCAGCUCGUGUCGUGAGAUGUUGGGUUAAGUCCCGCAACGAGCGCAACCCUCGUUCUGUGUUGCCAGCAUUUAGUUGGGGACUCACAGGAGACUGCCGGGGUUAACUCGGAGGAAGGUGGGGAUGACGUCAAAUCAUCAUGCCCCUUAUGUCUUGGGCUGCACGCAUGCUACAAUGGCUGGUACAAACGGCUGCAAUACCGCAAGGUGGAGCGAAUCCGAGAAAGCCAGUCUCAGUUCGGAUUGGGGUCUGCAACUCGACCCCAUGAAGUCGGAGUUGCUAGUAAUCGUAGAUCAGCAACGCUACGGUGAAUACGUUCCCGGGGCUUGUACACACCGCCCGUCACAUCACGAAAGUCGGUAACACCCAAAAGUCAGCGGCCCAACC